RNAcentral lists this long non-coding RNA (14509 nucleotides) under Gossypium barbadense (sea-island cotton). RNAcentral's name for it is "long non-coding RNA (GBAR_LNC011036)". The record is from RNAcentral. Lineage: Eukaryota; Viridiplantae; Streptophyta; Magnoliopsida; Malvales; Malvaceae.
UCCGUGAAAGAUGACGAAUUGGUCUAGUCUCAGAGGCCAUAGGGAUAUCGUUAUGAUACCCACACCUGGAGCGCCAAAUGGUGCUGAUGGACAACCAUCGGCCGAUCAUUAUCAGGUGAAUUCCUCAAGCUCGAUGUUGACCGGAGGAAAGAAAAGAAGUCAGAAAGCUAAAGGAAAAGGCAUCAAGAAACAGUGCCUGACCCGGGUAACCGGUGGAGAAGAGAGUGUGGGAGAGCUUACUGUAGAGCAUAGUGGGAAAAACUUGACUGACCAAAUCAACAGAAGGACGUGUAAAGUAAAUUCCCUUAACUGAACUUAGCCAUUCACAUCCAUGAGAAAGAUUUUCUCUGUCUCUUACUUCGACACUUGCUUUGUGUGUAUUUGAUGACAUAAAGGUCAAGGAAAAACAUUGGGAUCGGCUACGUAACUGUCCAGAAGUUAUAUCCAUCAUCAAGCAAAUUGAAGAGAAAUGGCCACUGCUAUCUGAUCUCGAAAAAAUUAAGGAGAAUAGGAGUGAAAUCCUAACCAAGUUCAAGGCAGGCCGUUUAAAAGAGGAUGGGGCGAAGCAGGAAUUGGACAAACUAAAGGAGAGGCUCAAUCAUGUAGAUGGACAACUACAGGUGUGCUAAUGUUUACGAAUCGAAUUACUGAGUUUGGUUUCAUGAUCUAAUUGUCCAAUUUAACUUUGGUUUUUCAGGAGUUGCACAAAGCAAACAAUCUUGAGGUAAGCACAGUAACAAUAUAAUUACUAAGUUCGAUAUCCUCUUGAUCUAAUGAUUUAACUUGGUUUUUCAGGAGUUGAACAAAGUAAAGAACCUUGAGGAAAUGUUCCUUAAUGAGGUAUGCACAUUUCUUAUCAUUGAUAUUAACUAAUAUAGGAGGGCAUAGUACCAAAAAAGUCCCAUCUCCUUAUCCACUAAACUUGUUUUUAGACAUAGCAAAAAGUACUUUUUUCCAGCUAUUUGUUUGGAUUCGGGUUUAUGCAUUGUAUACGUAUUUGUGUAUUUGAAAAUAUACUUAUAUUCAAAUAUGUGUUGCUACGUUCCUCAUUUAUAAAUCCAAUCACAAUGUAAUAUGUUUCUUCAUUCACUACACUUAUUUUCUAGAUUUAAUAAGAAGUCAUUUUCAAUUAUAUUAGUUGAAUUCGAAUAUGAAUGUUUUUAUGUGGGUCCAGUAUAAUCUUAAAAUGUUUAAUUUCUUUUUUUUAAAUAAUAUAUUUUAAAAAACCUCGAAAAUUAUAUUCUAAACCAAUAUUCAUAAAUGUGUCAAAUACCAACAUCAAGUCACAUAGCUUGAAAAUACUAUAUAUGUUGAAUCAUAUUGCUUCAUAUCAAUUUGUUGUCUACCCAUAUCUUCUUUUUCCAGGUCUCAAUAUCUAAAGUUAUCCUUAGACUUGCCCUUAUUUGCAUCUUUAAUAAUUUGUUUAUAUUUCUCCUAAAUUUCAGGAUAAUGACCUGGAGACUCUUCAAAAAGAGGUAUGUCAUAUAUAUAUAUAAAUGAAAUUGGUAGGUGAUUAUCCGUAGAUUUGAAAACUUGAAUUUCGAAAAUAGCAUUAGACAUAAAUGUUAUUUAUCCAAUGGUUUAAAACAUAAUUUGGUGCUUAAGUUUAAUUUUUUUUUCUAAUAUAGUAUUUAUAUUAUUUUUUAAUGCAUCUGAUUUCAUAUUUGAUAAAAAGUAUUAUAGAAGUGUUUAUAUUAGGAAUUAGAUUGCAUUUUGCCUCCUUAUUAAAAAAAGAGACAACUUAGUCCUUAUAAUUAGAUCAAAGAGCAAAUUGGCUAUUCUAUUAAAGAUUUCAUACAUUGUUAUUUUUAAAAACUAGUCUCUGUAUGCCAGCAUGGGUACACGUGACACGUCACGUGUCACUAUAUGGUUAUUUCGUUAGUCAUGUCAAUUUUAACAUUACAAAUAGAUGCAAUUUUUAACAGAAAUCACUAGUUUAAUUUGCUUUUUAAUUUAACAUAUAAUGAUUAAUUUGCUCAUUUUUUUAAUAGAGGGAGGCAAAAUACAAUCUCACUCCUCAUAUAGGAAUUUCCAUGGUACUUUUACGAAAUUAUGACAUGUUUUUUCGUGUUUGUUAUUUCAGUAUUAUUCUAUAUAUCCACGAAUGAAAGAAGUUGUUGCGCCUGAUGAUCAUGGAAGUUUGCUAAUUCCUGAAGUAUUGUCUAAAAUGAAUGAGUUGGAAAACGAAAUUUAUGCCAAAGACGACAACAAAGUGAAUGUUCAAGACUUCAAUGGCUUACAACAAGCAUUGAACAAAAAUUUCAAAACUUGCACCGAUGCACGGGUGAAGGCUGCUCAAGCCGAACCCCAUGAUAAUAAAGGUGAAGAUGUUGAAGGAGAUGAUUCGGUUCCACCUCCCGCACAAGCUCCACCACAAUAUCCAAUUUUUUCUGCCGAAACGUUAGCUAUACUCAACGUACUUGGCUCUUUGAGAGAUGAUAUUAGUGGCAUCCGUGAUGAAGUUCGAGGCUUAGGUGCUAGGAUGUCUACAUUGGAGAAACAUAUCGCUUAUCUUAUGUUUCAAUUCUCUCCACCACAGCCUCCUCAGUAUAGCUAGGACUCAUUUUGCAUUCAUGGAUUUUCAUGUUUUAUUUGGAUGUUUUACAUUGUUUUCCUAUCUCUGUGCUUGUUGCACUUUAAUGAUUACUUAGUAUGCUUAGGUGCUGCGAUGUCUACAUUGGAGGAACAUAUCGUUUAUCUUAUGUUUCAAUUCCCUCCACCGCAGCCUUCUCAAGAUAGCUAGGACUCAUUUUGCAUUCAUGGAUUUACAUGUUUUAUUUGGAUGUUUUCCAUUGUUUUCCUAUCUCUAUGUUUGUUGCACUUUCAUGAUUACUUAGUAUUUUAUUUUAUUCAUUUAAAAAAUUGGAUAAAUUAAAUUUUGUAUAUUAAAUCAAGAGAAAAUCAAUUCUUUUUUGUUAAAAAUUCCGUUCGGUUGUACUGUUAAAAAUUGGCGUAGUUAACAUAUAAAUGACCGAUUUUUAAUAGUAAAAAUGAAUAAAAUUUCUAACAAAAGCAUUAAUUUAUUCUUUAAUCUGAUAUACAUAGAUUAAUUUACUCGUUUUUUAACAGAAAGGAUAGUUUUACCAAUGUUUUAGAGAGCAUCAUUGUUAAAUAAAUGCAAUUUUUACCUCUCUUUUUUUAAAUACAAGUGCUUGACUACCCAUUUCUUUAUUGAAUAAACAUUUUUUUUUGCUGAAACGUUUGAAAUGAUUAUAACUUUUACGUAACCACCAUUAUACUCAUUAUCUAUACAAUUUGCUUUCCAUUUUUCCAUGUUGAACCCUGUUUAGCAUUUCCAUUCUUACUUUCUCAUUUUAAUAGUCCUUUACUAACUUUUUACCUAAAGCUUAUAAAUAGGGGUUUGAAUGUUUUGUUGGGGGACUUUUGGAUAUUGUGGCAAAUUUAAAACUUUAUAAUUUUAUCCGUAGCUCUCAUUUUUCUCAAUCCAUUACCACCACUUGUUUAGAGUUUACCUUAAUAUUUCUCUCCACUAUUUCUCCAAGAUAUUUCAUUUUGUUAGAUUAUAACGUUUUCUCACUUUGCUAACAAAACUCUUUACACCUUCCUUGAAGUGCCUUUUCUCAACUGACAAUAGCUAAGGACAGUUUCAAAAAAUACUUGAUACGGUCCGAAAAUCCUUACAGUAACAAUGGUGAUAAAAUCAUGAGAAUAGUUUUUAUCUCCGUAGUAGACACUAACAAUACCUAGUAGUCACCUUUUUUUUUUCAAAGAAAAAGCUGUAAGAAUUGUUUAUCUCCAAAAAAAGCAAUAUCUUGAAAUGUGUAUUCGUAUUACAUGUUUCUUAAUACUUGUUUAUAUUUGGUGAAAUGUAGGACGACAUGGCAUAUAUGGAAUCUGUGAUCUUGAUUUUCCAUCAGAUGAUAGAGAUGAAAGCCUCUCCUCUCUUGCCAAAAGUUCUCGGCUCCCACAAGCAAAUCAAAUCGCAAUGUCCAGUUCGAUCUGAUCUUGAUGACAUUAAGCGAAAGGUCCUUGAAAUCGAGCUCGAGUUCAAGGAUACUGAUUUGACAGAUGAGGCAAAGCGAAGAUUACUUGAAUUAGAAGAGGAGUUUAAAAGAUUAGAUCAAAAAUGGAUGAAGGUACGGUAUUGUUUACAAAUUUAAUUACCACAUUUAGUUUCAUGAUGUAACAUAUUAUUCUGACUCUGUAACUUGGUUUUUCAGGACAUGACAAAAGCUGGGAACCUUGAUGCAAUCUUCACUAAUAAUAUGGUAUGCACAUAAACGUUUCUUAUGAUUGAUAUUAACCUAGAUUAUUAUUCUUGAAUAAAAUGAUCAUUUCUCAUUUAUAAAUCACAUUAUAAUUAUAUUUUUCUUUCCUCAUUCAUUAGACUUGUUUUUUAGAUAGUAAAAAUGAUAAAAAUAUCAUAGAGGGUCUUGUACUAAAAAUCAGAUUAUAUUUUAUCUGCUCUAAAAAAGAUAGGAGAAUUAGUCAUUAUAUGUAAUAUCAGAGCAAAUGGCUCCAUUUGUUAUAAAUUUUUAUUUAGAUCUUUUAUAUAAUUUUUAAAAUUUUAAAUUAAUAAAAAGAAAAUUAUUUUUUAAUUAUUUUUUUAAAAAAUAAAAAAUUAAUUUAAUUCUUUAAAAAGUAUAAAAAUACGAGUUAACACAUAAACUUUCUCUUAUGUAGUCAAUUUUUAAUUUGAAAUUUAUUUUUAUGUGGAUAAUGUCAUGCCGUGGACCAUGGUUUGACAGACGCCACACAUGUAAGAAUGCUAUCGAUUCGAUUUUGGAUUCGGUAUUUUUUUUUUAUUUUUUUUUGCUUCGAAAACUGGUAUUCAUUAAUAAAGGAAUUGGCUGAAGAAAAUAUCUGACAACACAAACACUCCAAAGAAAAUGAAAAGACAACAGAAGUAGAUACUGCCAAAACAAAACAGGAAAAUGAAAGAACACCGAAAAUCAAAAACCAAAAACCAGAAAACACAAGCAAUCCCCAAAAGAACAACCAACAAAGAAUACCAGUCAAAACCUUUCCGUUUAUCAUCAGAAAACCAUCGCAGCCAAAACGGUAAAGGAAACAGCUUUGAAAAACCAACAUUGGAGAUUCAAAGAACCUUCUCCAAACUUCAAAGCCCAACGGAAACACCUCAUCGCUGAAGUAACCAAUCAGACCAGUCCUCUGCCACCAAUUUUCCAACAGAAGCUGAUGCCUCUUCAACCAAAAAACAUAGUGUAACAAAAUGAGUUUGAUUUUAUGAUUUUUGAAUAUUAUUUUACAAAAUUUUAAAAUAUUUUUAAAAAACAAAUAACUUUUCAAGAAGUAUUGGAUAAUUUUUACUACUUUAAAUAUAAAAUAUUUUUAUAUCAUAAAAAUUAAAAUUAAUUAUUAAAUAAAAAAUGUAAUUCGGAUUAAUUUCGUGUAAUCCUAUUUUUUAAACAUACAUUUUAUAAAUCGCCCAAAUAGGACCAAAGACUAUGGAGGACUGAAACUGCAAGGUAUGCACAUUUGAAAGCGCGGAAGCCAGGUUGGACCGCGCGAAAGUGAACCGAGCGGACGACUGCGGUUAACUGUGGAAUAAUGUUACUUUAAAAUUUUAAAGACAAUAAAAAUACUUUCACUUUGUGCGCUUUCAAAUGUACAUACCUCGCAGUUUCAGUCUUCUGUCUGUACCAACCAUAGAAUGGGUGGGAGAUGUUACAUUUUGUCGCAUCUCAAAGUUUAAAAAUAAAGUAUAGACUAAAUUUUAAAUUUCAAAAAAGUAAAGGGAUGUUAAUGGUAAUUUCAUUAACCAAAAGUCGUGGCAACGCUUCCCUGGUCUUCUCUCUCGCUCCGACUUUUUAAUCGAGUUUGCAGUCGACCGUAAGCCGGUAUUUAAUUAAGAUCUUUCUCUCCAAUGGAUUUCAUCAUUUCUUCACCAUUAACACAGCAGCAGCUCCUUCUCUUCUCUUCUCUACACCACAUCAAAGCAGUGAGUUGCUAUUUCAAUUCAUUUCCUAUCACUUUCUGUACAUCUAUUGCUUUGAUUUUUGCUAAAUUUAUAAUUUCAUAUCCGUUUGAGCAAGAUGAUUGUCACUUUCUUGCUUGUUUCUGUUUUUGUUCUAAAUUAGGAAAAACUUUGAUUGUUUUAGAUUCAGAAAUUUGAUUUGAGUUAAAAUUUUCAGAUCCGUGAAAGAUGACGAAUUGGUCUAGUCUCAGAGGCCAGAGGGAUAUCGUUAUGAUACCCACACCUGGAGCGCCAAAUGGUGCUGAUGGACAACCAUCGGCCGAUCAUUAUCAGGUGAAUUCCUCAAGCUCGAUGUUGACCGGAGGAAAGAAAAGAAGUCAGAAAGUUAAAGGAAAAGGAAAAUGCAUCAAGAAGCAGUGCCUGCCCCGGGUAACCGGUGGAGAAGAGAGUGUGGGAGAGCUUACUGUAGAGCAUAGUGGGAAAAACUUGACUGACCAAAUCAACAGAAGGGCGUGUAAAUUAAAUUUUGUAUAUUAAAUCAAGAGAAAAUCAAUUCUUUUUUGUUAAAAAUUCUGUUCGGUUGUACUGUUAAAAUUUAGCGUAAUUAACAUAUAAAUGACCGAUUUAAUAGUAGAAAUAAAUAAAAUUUCUAACAAAAGCAUUAAUUUGUUCUUUAAUCUGAUAUACAUAGAUUAAUUUACUCGUUUUUUAACAGAAAGGAUAGUUUUACCAAUAUUUUAGAGAGCAUCAUUGUUAAAUAAAUGCAAUUUUUACCUUUUUUUUUUUUAAAUACAAGUGCUUGACUACCCAUUUCUUUAUUGAAUAAACAUUUUUUUUUCUGAAACGUUUGAAAUGAUUAUAACUUUUAUGUAACCAGCAUUAUACUCAUUAUCUAUACAAUUUGCUUUCCAUUUUUCCAUGUUGAACCCUAUUUAGCAUUUCCAUUCUUACUUUCUCAUUUUAAUAGUCCUUUACUAACUUUUUACCUAAAGCUUAUUAUUGGAACCCACCCAUUGUUUGAAAAGUCAAAAAGGGUGGGCACCGAAAGUAGAAAGUAAGAUUAGUUGGCAAGUUGGGUUAAAAGUUGGCAUGGGAUAAUUGUAAUUUUGGUCCCUAAUUGUAUAGGGACAUUGCAAGUUGAUCCUUGAACCUCAACUAUAAAUAGGCCUAACUAUUUCUUACUUUCUUCAUCCCAUAAUUGCCAUUCUCUACUUAAGGCAUUAUUCUCUCUCUCUAUUUGUAAAUUUCACUUGUAAUUUUUGGAGUGAAAUAUAUUUGGUAGUGCCCGAGGACGUAGGCAAAAUUUGCUGAACCUCGUUAAAAUUCUGGUGUUCUUUAUUAUUUAUUUUGCAUAUUUUGUGAAUGUGAUUGUAGUAAUUUAUUGUGCUAUUAAAUUACGAUAGAGGGAUAUUCUGGCUAGGAAAGACUUGGUAUUUAAGUGAUUUUCGUGAUCUACCUCUCUUUCCUGGGAAUUGAACUUAGUGUGAUUUUUCAGUACAAUAUUUUUACUCUUUCACACGCUUCCGCGCAACAAUUGGUAUUAGAGCCAGAUUCGUACUUGGGGAAUACGACCAUUUACGGCACUAUUCACGUAUAUGGUACUAUUCACGUAUACAGUACUGUUCACGUAUACAGUAGUUGGGAUUGAGGAGAAAAAUGGCAGCAGCAUCGUCAUCAGCAAGGACUACCGUGACAAAUGUAAAAUUUGAAGUAGAGAAAUUUGACGGUACUAAUAAUUUUGGUAUGUGGCAAUGUGUGAUCCUGGAUGUCUUAUGUCAGCAAGAGCUAGAUAUAGCCCUUGAAGAAAAACCUAACAAGAUGGAUGACAAGGAGUGGGCCAAGAUCAAUAGACAGGCGUGUGGUACAAUCCGCCUAUGUUUGGCCAAAGAGCAGAAGUACUUUGUCAUGAGGGAGACAUCAGCGAAGAAGUUAUGGGAUAUACUGGAAGAAAAGUUUCUAACGAAAAGUCUUGAAAAUAGGUUUUAUAUGAAAAAGAAACUUUAUCGAUUCACGUAUGCACCCGGUAUGUCGAUGAAUGACCAUGUGAACUCAUUCAAUAAAAUUUUAGCAGACUUGCUAAAUUUGGAUGAGAAAUUUGAAGAUGAAGACAAGGGAUUAUUGUUGUUGAAUUCCCUUCCUGAUGAAUAUGAUCAUCUUACCACCACAUUGCUUCAUGGGAAGGACACGAUCACAUUUGAUGUAGUCUGUAGUGCGUUGUAUAGAUCUGAGACUCGAAAGAAAGAUAAAAGAGAUCACAGAGAUACAACUGCAGAAGUCUUAACAGUAAGAGGUCGUUCACGCAGCAGCAAAUCUGGUAAAAGGGGAAAGUCCAAAGGGAGACUCGCCAAAGAUGAAUGUGCUUUUUGCCGUGAAAAAAGGGCAUUGGAAAAAGAAUUGUCCUAAGUUACAAAAGGGCAAGGCUAUUUCUAAUGCAUGUGUAGUGGAGCAUGAUGAGGAGUCAGACUUUAGCUUGGUUGGCAUAGCAAUGGCAUGUCAAACGGAUGAGUGGAUUUUGGAUUCAGGAUGUACUUACCAUAUGUGUCCUAAUAAGGACUGGUUUUCUAGUCUUAAAGAGCUAGAAGGUGGAAUUGUUCUUAUGGGCAAUGAUAGUGCUUGUAAGACAAUGGGAGUGGGUACAGUCCAAUUGAAGAAUCACGACGGCUCAAUCCAAGUCUUGACAGAUGUUCGCUACGUACCUAGCUUGAAGAAAAAUCUCAUCUCAUUAGGGGCCCUAGAAUCUAAACGGCUCACAAUCACUUUGAGAGAUGGAUUACUAAAAGUAGUAGCUGGGCAACUGACGGUGAUGAAAGGCACAAGAAGAAAUAACUUGUACUUUUUAAAUGGAAGUACAGUUAUUGGAUCAACAUCAACAGUUUCUACAAAAGAUGUAGAUUCAGAGGCUACCAGAUUUUGGCAUAUGCGAUUGGGACAUGCUGGUGAAAAAGCUUUGCAGACAUUGGCGAAGCAAGGCUUGUUGAAAGGUGCAAAUUCUUGCAAAUUGGAAUUCUGUGAACAUUGUGUUCUGGGUAAGCAAAAGAGGGUAAAAUUUGGUCCAGCAAUUCACAAUACGAAAGGAAUUCUGGACUACGUUCACAGUGAUAUGUGGGGACCUACCAAAGUGGCUUCUUUGGGAGGUAUGCACUAUUUUGUUACUUUUGUUGAUGAUUAUUCAAGAAAAGUAUGGGUGUAUCUAAUAAAAAGAAAAAGUGAAGUUUUGGAUGCAUUUCUGAAAUGGAAAAAGAUGGUGGAGACUCAGACUGGUCGAAAGGUCAAACGACUUCGAUCAGAUAAUGGCACUGAGUACAAAAAUGAUCCAUUUCUACAAGUAUGUCAAGAUGAGGGCAUUGUGCGACACUUCACUGUUCGGGAUACACCACAGCAGAAUGGGGUGGCAGAACGCAUGAAUCGAACUAUACUGGAGAAAGUUCGAUGUAUGUUGUCCAAUGCUGGAUUGGGCAAGGAAUUUUGGGCUGAGGCAGUUACAUAUGCGUGCCAUCUAAUUAACCGUUUGCCAUCAGCUGCAAUAAAUGGAAAAACUCCUAUAGAGAUAUGGACUGGUAAAUCUGCUACUGAUUAUGAUUCUUUGCAUGUAUUUGGUUCCACUGCAUAUUAUCAUGUAAAAGAAUCUAAGUUAGACCCAAGAGCAAAGAAAGCAUUAUUCUUGGGUAUAACUGAUGGAGUAAAAGGAUACCGUCUCUGGUGUCCUGAUACAAGGAAGAUUGUUUUUAAUAGAGAUGUGACUUUUGAUGAAUCAACCAUGUUAAAGUACAAGGAUUCACAAAAGGAUGACAAAACCAGUAGUACUUUGCAGCAGGUGGAGCUUGAAAAGGUUAACGAUGAUCCAGCUAAUAUUGAAGGGACAAAUGAUGAAGAGGUUCCUACCCAAGAACCUCUACAGCAACAAGAUUCAAUUGCAUAUAGGAGGCCAAGAAGAGAGAUUCGUAAGCCUGCUCGCUUUGAUGAUAUAGUGGCCUAUGCACUUCCAAUUGCAGAUGAUGAUGUUCCUUCUACUUACACAGAAGCAAUAAGUAACCCUGAUGGUGUAAAGUGGAAGCAAGCAAUGAAUGAAGAAAUGCAGUCUCUUCAUAAAAAUAGGACCUGGGAGUUGGUGACACUGCCCAAGGGAAAGAAGGCAAUUGGAUGCAAAUGGGUAUAUGCAAAGAAGGAAUGAUUUCCUGGUAAAAAUGAAAUUCGAUACAAGGCUAGAUUGGUAGCAAAGGGUUACGCUCAGAAAGAAGGAAUAGACUACAAUGAAGUGUUUUCUCCAGUUGUGAAGCAUUCGUCUAUUCAGAUUUUGCUAGCCUUGGUUGCGUAAUAUGAUCUUGAACUAGUUCAGCUUGAUGUGAAGACCGCAUUUUUACACGGUGAUUUGGAAGAGGAAAUCUAUAUGACUCAGCCAGAUGAAUUUAAGGUUUCUGGAAAAGAAAAUUGGGUUUGCAAACUGACAAAGUCGCUUUAUGGAUUGAAGCAAUCUCCGAAACAGUGGUACAAGCGAUUUGAUCAGUUCAUGAAAGGGCAAAGGUACACAAGAAGUAAAUUUGAUCAUUGCGUGUAUUUUCAGAAGCUACAAGAAGGAACUUUCAUAUACUUGCUCUUAUAUGUUGAUGAUAUGCUAAUAGCAUCUAUACUUGAGGCAUUAUUCUCUCUCUCUAUUUUUAAAUUUCACUUGUAAUUUUUGGAGUGAAAUAUAUUUGGUAGUGCCCGAGGACGUAGGCAAAAUUUGCUGAACCUCGUUAAAAUUCUGGUGUUCUUUAUUAUUUAUUUUGCAUAUUUUGUGAAUGUGAUUGUAGUAAUUUAUUGUGUUAUUAAAUUACGAUAGAGGGAUAUUCUGGCUAGGAAAGACUUGGUAUUUAAGUGAUCUUCGUGAUCUACCUCUCUUUCCUGGGAAUUGAACUUAGUGUGAUUUUUCAGUACAAUAUUUUUACUCUUUCACACGCUUCCGCGCAACACUUAUAAAUAGGGGUUUGAAUGUUUUGUUGGGGGACUUUUGGAUAUUGUGUCAAAUUUAGAACUUUAUAAUUUUAUCGGUAACUUUCUAUCUACAAUUAGAACAACCACUGUAGCUCUCAUUUUUCUCAGUCCAUUAUCACCACUUGUUUAGAGUUUACCUUAAUAUUCCUCUCCACUAUUUCUCCAAGAUAUUUCAUUUUGUUAGAUUAUAACGUUUUCUCAUUUUGCUAACAAAACCCUUUACACCUUCCUUGAAGUGCCUUUUCUCAACUGACAAUAUAGCUAAGGACAGUUUUAGAAAAAUACUUGGUACGGUCCGAAAAUCCUUGCAGUAACAAUGAUGAUAAAAUCAUGAGAAUGGUUUUUAUCUCCGUAGUAGACACUAACAAUACCUAGUAGUCACCUUUUUUUUUUCAAAGAAAAAGCUGUAAGAAUUGUUUAUCUCCAAAAAAAGCAAUAUCUUGAAAUGUGUAUUCCUAUCACAUGUUUCUUAAUACUUGUUUAUAUUUGGUGAAAUGUAGGACGACAUGGCAUAUAUGGAAUCUGUGAUCUUGAUUUUCCAUCAGAUGAUAGAGAUGAAAGCCUCUCCUCUCUUGCCAAAAGUUCUCGGCUCCCACAAGCAAAUCAAAUCGCAAUGUCCAAUUCGAUCUGAUCUUGAUGACAUUAAGCGAAAGGUCCUUGAAAUCGAGCUCGAGUUCAAGGACACUGAUUUGACAGAUGAGGCAAAGCGAAGAUUACUUGAAUUAGAAGAGGAGUUUAAAAGAUUAGAUCAAAAAUGGAUGAAGGUACGGUAUUGUUUACAAAUUUAAUUACCACAUUUAGUUUCAUGAUGUAACAUAUUAUUCUGACUCUGUAACUUGGUUUUUCAGGACAUGACAAAAGCUGGGAACCUUGAUGCAAUCUUCACUAAUAAUAUGGUAUGCACAUAAACGUUUCUUAUGAUUGAUAUUAACCUAGAUUAUUAUUCUUGAAUAAAAUGAUCAUUUCUCAUUUAUAAAUCACAUUAUAAUUAUAUUUUUCUUUCCUCAUUCAUUAGACUUGUUUUUUAGAUAGUAAAAAUGAUAAAAAUAUCAUAGAGGGUCUUGUACUAAAAAUCAGAUUAUAUUUUAUCUGCUCUAAAAAAGAUAGGAGAAUUAGUCAUUAUAUGUAAUAUCAGAGCAAAUGGCUCCAUUUGUUAUAAAUUUUUAUUUAGAUCUUUUAUAUAAUUUUUAAAAUUUUAAAUUAAUAAAAAGAAAAUUAUUUUUUAAUUAUUUUUUUAAAAAAUAAAAAAUUAAUUUAAUUCUUUAAAAAGUAUAAGAAUACGAGUUAACACAUAAACUUUCUCUUAUGUAGUCAAUUUUUAAUUUGAAAUUUAUUUUUAUGUGGAUAAUGUCAUGCCGUGGACCAUGGUUUGACAGACGCCACACAUGUAAGAAUGCUAUCGAUUCGAUUUUGGAUUCGGUAUUUUUUUUUAAUUUUUUUUUGCUUCGAAAACUGGUAUUCAUUAAUAAAGGAAUUGGCUGAAGAAAAUAUCUGACAACACAAACACUCCAAAGAAAAUGAAAAGACAACAGAAGUAGAUACUGCCAAAACAAAACAGGAAAAUGAAAGAACACCGAAAAUCAAAAACCAAAAACCAGAAAACACAAGCAAUCCCCAAAAGAACAACCAACAAAGAAUACCAGUCAAAACCUUUCCGUUUAUCAUCAGAAAACCAUCGCAGCCAAAACGGUAAAGGAAACAGCUUUGAAAAACCAACAUUGGAGAUUCAAAGAACCUUCUCCAAACUUCAAAGCCCAACGGAAACACCUCAUCGCUGAAGUAACCAAUCAGACCAGUCCUCUGCCACCAAUUUUCCAACAGAAGCUGAUGCCUCUUCAACCAAAAAACAUAGUGUAACAAAAUGAGUUUGAUUUUAUGAUUUUUGAAUAUUAUUUUACAAAAUUUUAAAAUAUUUUUAAAAAACAAAUAACUUUUCAAGAAGUAUUGGAUAAUUUUUACUACUUUAAAUAUAAAAUAUUUUUAUAUCAUAAAAAUUAAAAUUAAUUAUUAAAUAAAAAAUGUAAUUCGGAUUAAUUUCGUGUAAUCCUAUUUUUUAAACAUACAUUUUAUAAAUAUCCCAAAUAGGACCAAAGACUAUGGAGGACUGAAACUGCAAGGUAUGUACAUUUGAAAGCGCGGAGGCCAGGUUGGACCGCGCGAAAGUGAGCCGAGCGGACGACGGCGGUUAAGUGUGGAAUAAUGUUACUUUAAAAUUUUAAAGACAAUAAAAAUACUUUCACUUUGUGGCUUUCAAAUGUACAUACAUUGCAGUUUCAGUCCUCCAUAGUCUUUGGUCUAUACGAUUUAGGCUUUGAUUUCAGUUUUAUUUAUUCAAUUCAAUCCCUAUUAUUAUUAUUUAUUUUAGUUAUUUUUAUUAAUUAUUUAUUUACUUUUAUUUAAAAACUUUUAUUUGCAUUCUUGACAUCACAAUGUCUGACCCAGAUCUCUUUAUUAUUUUGAACCAUUUUUAACCUUUCAAAGUCCGUUUUGGUCUCGAACACCUCUGAACAUUCAGAAAUUAAUUUUUAAAUGAUUUCAAUUUGAUCUUAAAUUCCUAAAAUUGAAUCUAUCUACUUCCUAAGAUUUUAUAUAUAUAUAUAUAUAUAUAUAAACAAUAUUGUAAAACUUAGUCUAAUUUCUUACUGAAUGGUCCUAUACUGUUUUGAGCUUUUUUAAUGUCUCGAGACCCGUUACAAGUUAUGAACACCUUCAACCCACCUCAAACCAUUUUAAAAUGAUUUUAUAUUAUUUUAAAAUCAUCCAAAAAUUCAAAUUUGAUUUAACGAUUUAACAAAAGUAUUUUUAAAUUACAACUCUUCAAUGAUUUUGAGGAUUUUGACUUGUAUAGGUUCUGGUAGCAUCUUCUGUCUGUACCAACGGUAGAAUGGGUGGGAGGUGUUACAUUGUGGCAUCUCAAAGUUUAAAAAUAAAGUACAGACUAAAUUUUAAAUUUCAAAAAAUAAAAGGAUGUUAAAAGUAAUUUAUUAACCAAAAGUCAAAUGUGGUCAUGCUUCCCUGGUCUUCACUCUCGCUCCAACUUUCUAAUCGAGUUCUUAAGCCUGUAUUUAAUUAAGAUCUUUCUCUCCAAUGGAUUUCGUCAUUUCUUCACCAUCAACACAGCAGCAGCAGCUCCUUCUCUUCUCUUCUCUACACCACAUCAAAGCAGUGAGUUGCUAUUUCAAUUCAUUUCCUCUCACUUUCUGUACAUCUAUUGCUUUGAUUUUUGCUAAAUUUAUAAUUUCAUAUCCGUUUGAGCAAAUUUUGUUAGUUUAUGAUUGUCACUUGCUUGCUUGUUUCUAUUUUUGUUCUAAAUUAGGAAAAACUUUGAUUGUUUUAGAUUCAGAAAUUUGAUUUGAGUUAAAAUUUUCAGAUCCGUGAAAGAUGACGAAUUGGUCUAGUCUCAGAGGCCAUAGGGAUAUCGUUACGACACCCACACCUGGAGCGCCAAAUGGUGCUGAUGGACAACCAUCGGCCUAUCAUUAUCAGGUGAAUUCCUCAAGCUCGAUGUUGACCGGAGAGAAGAAAAGAAAUCAGAAAGCUAAAGGAAAAGGAAAAUGCAUCAAGAAACAGUGCCUGCCCCGGGUAACCGGUGGAGAAGAGAGUGUGGGAGAGCUUACUGUAGAGCAUAGUGGGAAAAAC